RNAcentral lists this ribosomal RNA (229 nucleotides) under uncultured bacterium. RNAcentral describes it as "partial 16S ribosomal RNA". It matches the Rfam family "Bacterial small subunit ribosomal RNA", at positions 568 to 796 of the family's 1533-position model. The record is from RNAcentral.
CGCGUAGGUGGGUUCGCAAGUCAGAUGUGAAAUUCCGGAGCUUAACUCCGGAGCUGCAUUUGAAACUGCGGACCUUGAGGGUAGACGGAGAAAGUGGAAUUCCACGUGUAGCGGUGAAAUGCGUAGAUAUGUGGAAGAACACCUGUGGCGAAAGCGACUUUCUAGUUUAUUCCUGACACUGAGGCGCGAAAGCAAGGGGAGCAAACAGGAUUAGAUACCCUGGUAGUCC